AGGAUGAACGCUGGCGGCGUGCUUAACACAUGCAAGUCGAACGGUGAAGUGAGGAGCUUGCUCUUUGCGGAUCAGUGGCGAACGGGUGAGUAACACGUGAGUAACCUGCCCUUGACUCGUGGGAUAAGCGUUGGAAACGACGUCUAAUACCGGAUACGACCUCCGAAGGCAUCUUCUGGAGGUGGAAAGAAUUUCGGCAAGGAUGGACUCGCGGCCUAUCAGCUAGUUGGUGAGGUAAUGGCCCACCAAGGCGACGACGGGGUA
RNAcentral lists this ribosomal RNA (264 nucleotides) under uncultured bacterium. RNAcentral describes it as "partial small subunit ribosomal RNA". It matches the Rfam family "Bacterial small subunit ribosomal RNA", at positions 26 to 285 of the family's 1533-position model. The record is from RNAcentral.